Molecule: long non-coding RNA, 716 nt
Organism: Pistacia vera
Lineage: Eukaryota; Viridiplantae; Streptophyta; Magnoliopsida; Sapindales; Anacardiaceae
Exons: 3
Source: RefSeq, a predicted model, not a curated record
GAAAAUAAGACAUGGCUUCAAGACCCAUUGUUCCACAACAAGCCAGAGGUGAGGCAGUCGUAGGAGGAGGAGCGGUUAAGCAACAAAAGAAAGUCAGGGCGGCGGCUGAUGGGAGUAACCACCAUGCACUAGGUGUAUUGGCAAUCGCGUAACUGUUUGAGGAAUCGAUGGCAAGCCUCAACCUCAGAUUACUCGGCCCAUCACCAGGAGUUUUUGCCCUCAAUUACUUGCCAAUGCACCAACUGUGAGAAUAACAAGAAACAAGUUUAUGUUAAUGUGGAUAAGGCGCCUGUUCUUGUUGAGGGACUUCCGGUGGGUAAAAAACCAGUGGCCGCAAAGGCAGCUCAAAAGAAAGUCUUUGUUUUGCAAUAGAGUGAAUACUAGAUGGAGAUUGUGCUAGAGCUCACCUUUUUUCUGCUUUGAAAUAGUUUCUUUUAUUGUUUGGAUACCUGAAUUUUACAAUGAAAUGAAUAUCUGUAUUUGAUAUUGAAGUUUGGGAUUCCUCGGUGCACUCUUGCUAGCUUGCUAGUUUAUAAUGCGAAGGUCUUAAGAGAUGUUCUGUCAGUGAAGAGAGGGCCAAUUGCAGAUGCAUUUGUUAGUUUUCUCUGCUUGCUUUCAAGCCCAACUGAAUGCUCCAUAUUUCUUGUUGUGUCCAGAAUUAGUUAUGGACAUAUGUACCAUUGGGUCAACUCCAGUUAUGGCCUCCAGACUGAUCC